CUGCGGUGAGACUGACACCUGUCGCAUCCCAACCUGGGAGGAGCUGCGAUGCGAUGCGCUUGCCCGGCUGAUCUUCAGUGCACCUGCCUUCGGGAAUCCCUUCUCAGUGGCCUCUGCGGCCCCCUGUGUCCCUGCCCUGCUUCCGAACAGUGCCUCACAGCCAAGCAGGCAUCGCCUCACAUCCUACAUCACACCCGAGCGCGUGCUAAGGGAGAAAUUACAGGAUGUCAGGGCCACGGCUAAUGCGUUCUAAUUACCCACCGCUGCUGUCAUCUGAAGCCUCAAUAGCACUCUGCCAACGGGAUCUGUAAUUGUAAUUACCCCGCCCCCCUUCCUGGACCUAGAACCCGCAGCCUUCCCUUGAGCCCUUCCAAGUUCCCAGCAGCAGUCACAAAGGCUCCACCUGCAGUCGCCUCCAGGGGCAGUCCCAUGCCCCAUAGGACUGUCCUGGGCUCUAGAGAAUCAUGUCCCCAUAGAUGUGGGAGACUUGGGAAGUCCAACCCGGACCCACUUUCUCUGAUGGAAGAGAGUGGUGAGCAAGAAAAGAACCUGAAAGCCUAGGUGAAAUUAACUGUCCCUGGAAGACCAUGGACAAAACUACAGAGUCCCCAUUUUUCUCCUAAAGCUCAGGAGUCUCUCAGGGAAGGACCUUCUGUUUAGCUCACUCACUCACUGGUGGUGAAGGAACCGGCUUCCCUUUUGGCAGCCAUAACAGCCAAACACGUGCUUGCCAUAAACCUGCCUUGGUCACUUAGAGGUCAGAUGCCUGUCUCGUGACAAGGAACCUUAGUCACUAAAAGGUCAGAUGCCUGUCUUGUGACAAGGAACCAAUCAGAAGUUAGCUGGUGGCGCUAUGCUUUACGACCCUGGGUGUGCUUUACGGACAAGCGCACGACAAUGACGUAGAGAGCAUAGCAACCACCCUGGGAGGGCCUAUGAGCCAUAACAACCAGUUGACCAAUCAACACAGGGCAAGCCCUCCAAGCCUGGAGGCACACCAAUCGU
This 1005-nucleotide long non-coding RNA is filed under the name Cricetulus griseus (Chinese hamster). RNAcentral describes it as "lncRNA (ENSCGRG00000026552.1)". The record is from RNAcentral. Lineage: Eukaryota; Metazoa; Chordata; Mammalia; Rodentia; Cricetidae.